GUUCGAUAAAAAAAGAGCUAUAAAAAUUACAAAACCGGCUUCGAAAUUGCCAUUGUAUAUCUAACCAGCAAACUGAGCACACCAACGUGAAGAAGCAUUGUAGCUCAAUAUGAAACAUUCGACACAAUUAAAAAGACGAAGGGUAUAUCAUAUUCGAUAUGACUCAGGGGAUUCAGAUUCAGAGCAUCCAUCGAACAUCAAUUAUCACCGUUGGAUUCAUUGUUUAUUCUGCAGAAAAAUCAUUAAAGGUGUUUCAUGAAGUUCAACACUUGGUUUUUGAUCUUCUACGGAUGCAAAUCAGGUCAACAUUCGAAACAGUUCAUGGACCUGAGUUGAAAUUUGAUGAACCAGAGUUAAAAGUGGAUCCAGGAAGCGUUGUCAACCAUUUGAUUGAUCGCGUCAGUGAAUUUAUCAAACUGGGUGCUCAAUUGCAGUACAUCUCGAGCGUAACAAAGGUCCCACGAGAUAUGAUCGUUUCACCUGGAUGUACGUCACCAGGGGAAGGAAUGGUCCAUUUAGUUUGUGUGCACCUAAACAAAGAACUGGAACAGGAUAUCAGAGGAAUGUUUGACAAUUUCUUAAACGUUUUUUUGAGCCAAGUAAAAAAUAUUCCUAGCUUCGUAAUUCUUGAAAUCAGUCAAAAGUUUAAUGAGGUUCAAUGGGGACUUCUCAAGGCACUUGCAUCAAUCGAUUUUUCCAAAGAAAAAGUGAAUGAUAAUGAUAUUUCCAAAAUAAAAUCAAUAAAAAGUAGUUUUUUGAAAGCCAUCGAUAAUCAAAUGCAAGCUUGUCGCAAACAUAUUGAAAAGAUAUCCGGCGAUAGAUAUAAUAAGCACUACAAAGCGGUACUAGAAACAGAGCUGCAGGUGCUUACAACAACAUUUCAUGAAAUGACCAAACUAAGUGAAAGUGAUUUGUUUAGCAAAGCUCGCGAAGGAGUUCCUUUCGAAACUGGAAUGACAGUUUUUACGGAAAUUUUAAUUGCGAUUGGUCUUACAACAGUCACCGCCCUCGUAUUUUUAUUCUUAAAAAAAACUCUUUUUUGAUGACUAUUGGGAAUAUACUAUAGGGAAUAAGUACGGCAGAGUGAAGAGAGAGAGAAAAUGAAACGAGAGAGUACGUGUAGCGAAAUGAGAGUGAGAUUAGCCGAGAGAGGAGUUCAUGUUGUAUGCAUGAAUGAGCGAAAAUAAAUCAGUCGUGUGUUUUGUUUGAGCGUGAA
Long non-coding RNA from Culex quinquefasciatus (southern house mosquito), 1216 nucleotides. RefSeq lists it as uncharacterized. The transcript has 3 exons. Lineage: Eukaryota; Metazoa; Arthropoda; Insecta; Diptera; Culicidae. The record is from RefSeq and is a predicted model, not a curated record.